RNAcentral lists this unclassified non-coding RNA (232 nucleotides) under Hevea brasiliensis (rubber tree). Lineage: Eukaryota; Viridiplantae; Streptophyta; Magnoliopsida; Malpighiales; Euphorbiaceae. The record is from RNAcentral.
UCUUCCUUCCUUGGCCAUUUCUUGCUCAUAUGAACUAUAGACACCUAAGAGUGCCUGAUAAAUUUCUUUCAUAUAUUCUGGUAGUUCGUCCUUCAUGCUAAUAUCAAAGCUCUCAAUGACUUUGGUAAAGAGUUCAAGUUCUUCAAGAGUACCAUAAGCAUCAUAUGUAUCAUCAAUUACAGACAACAUGGCUAUAGCUUUGGUUAGCAUACUUCUGCCUAGAGCAUAAUGG